AACAAAUGUGAUUAAUAAAAAUGAAAAAAAAAUAAUAUAGUAGACAACAAAAUUAAGCACUAGAAACAUAUUAUAACAUCAUAUCUAAGAGUUCAUCAAGAAAAUACAAUAUUAGGCCGAACCACCAACUUAUUAUUUUUUUCUUUCAAGUCAAAAAAUACACAAUGUGGUGAUUCUAAAUACUGUUCACCCUCAUUUUCGUCUCGAGCUACAUGCAUUUUUCAGUUACCACCGUCGCCGCUCCCAUAGCCUUCACCAUACCCUCCACCAUACCCUUCUCCUUGGCCUGAGCCACCCCCACCCCCACCCCCUCUGCCUGAUCCUUUGCCAGAGCCUCGGCCUUGGCCCCGACCCGAUCCACGUCCCUGAUUCCCUCCGGAUCCUGAACCUGCUCGUGAUCCUGCGUAAGAUCCAGCAUAUGAACCUGCUUCAGAACCCGCACCAGACCCAGAACUUGAACUGGAAGAGGAUGAAGCUGAACUUGAGCUUGAACUGGACCCAGAACCAGAACCGGAACCGGAACCAGCUCCAGCCCCUGAACCACUGCCACCACCUAAACCAAGACCUAAACCGGCUCCAACCCCAAGUCCUAUGCCGCCAAGAUCCACACCCAAGUCCUUCCUUUGAACCCUACUAUCAGACACUGUUAUUGACAUUGCAAGAAGCAAAGCAAUAGCAGCUAGGGACUUAACUGCAUUCAUGUUUGUGAUGUUUCAAGAAGAAUGUUAGCGCUUGGAAAACGCCGUUCAAGACUUCAAAGCAACUGAGCCUUAGAGGAAGAUAUGGGAAAUUCAGGUAUUUAUAGACGUGGAAAA
RNAcentral lists this unclassified non-coding RNA (815 nucleotides) under Hevea brasiliensis (rubber tree). The record is from RNAcentral. Lineage: Eukaryota; Viridiplantae; Streptophyta; Magnoliopsida; Malpighiales; Euphorbiaceae.